AAAUUUUACUCCAAUCUAACUAGUAAAUUUUAAGAAAUCUUAAAAAACCUCACUAGACCUAAAAUUCUAUUUUCUAAGACCUUGAUCUAUUUAAAUCUCAAUAAUCCUCAAUUCAACCUUUAGAUGGAGCUAAAAUUCACAAUUCAUAUUAAACACAACUAUGACCAUCAACUCACAAAAUUUAACCUAUAGAUCUAUUACAAAACUCUCAAAAUUAUCCAAAAUAUCAAUCCUAUUUUAUUUCAUAAAAAUCCAAGUCAUCCAAAAUAAACUUGAUUUUGUAAAGCCCUUACAAAGUCAUUACAAAUCUAAAUCAC
RNAcentral lists this long non-coding RNA (317 nucleotides) under Physcomitrium patens. Its description in RNAcentral is "long non-coding RNA (PPAT_LNC010165)". The record is from RNAcentral. Lineage: Eukaryota; Viridiplantae; Streptophyta; Bryopsida; Funariales; Funariaceae.